UAGGGAAUCUUCGGCAAUGGACGAAAGUCUGACCGAGCAACGCCGCGUGAGUGAAGAAGGUUUUCGGAUCGUAAAACUCUGUUGUUAGAGAAGAACAAGGACGUUAGUAACUGAACGUCCCCUGACGGUAUCUAACCAGAAAGCCAUGGCUAACUACGUGCCAGCAGCCGCGGUAAUACGUAGGUGGCAAGCGUUGUCCGGAUUUAUUGGGCGUAAAGCGAGCGCAGGCGGUUUCUUAAGUCUGAUGUGAAAGCCCCCGGCUCAACCGGGGAGGGUCAUUGGAAACUGGGAGACUUGAGUGCGGAAGAGGAGAGUGGAAUUCCAUGUGUAGCGGUGAAAUGCGUAGAUAUAUGGAGGAACACCAGUGGCGAAGGCGGCUCUCUGGUCUGUAACUGACGCUGAGGCUCGAAAGCGUGGGGAGCAAACAGG
Molecule: ribosomal RNA, 429 nt
Filed under: Gemmatimonadota bacterium
Lineage: Bacteria; Pseudomonadati; Gemmatimonadota
Description: Gemmatimonadetes bacterium partial 16S ribosomal RNA
Rfam family: Bacterial small subunit ribosomal RNA
Source: RNAcentral